This 417-nucleotide ribosomal RNA is filed under the name Vibrio harveyi. RNAcentral's name for it is "bacterial LSU rRNA". It matches the Rfam family "Bacterial large subunit ribosomal RNA", at positions 26 to 493 of the family's 2925-position model. The record is from RNAcentral. Lineage: Bacteria; Pseudomonadati; Pseudomonadota; Gammaproteobacteria; Vibrionales; Vibrionaceae.
GGAUGCCUUGGCAGUCAGAGGCGAUGAAGGACGUAUUAACUUGCGAUAAGCCCAGAUUAGGUAGUAAAAACCACUUGAGUCUGGGAUUUCCGAAUGGGGAAACCCACUAGCAUAAGCUAGUAUCGCUGCGUGAAUACAUAGCGCAGCGAGGCGAACCGGGGGAACUGAAACAUCUAAGUACCCCGAGGAAAAGAAAUCAACCGAGAUUCCGAAAGUAGCGGCGAGCGAAAUUGGACUAGCCCUUAAGCUUUUUAUGCGUCAGGUGAAACUUCUGGAAAGUUGUGCGAUACAGGGUGAUAGCCCCGUAACCGGCAACGCAUUUAAAGUGAAAUCGAGUAGGGCGGGACACGUGAUAUCCUGUCUGAAUAUGGGGGGACCAUCCUCCAAGGCUAAAUACUACUGACUGACCGAUAGUGA